AUGGUUGGCCUCCUGGGUGGUCUUGUUAACGAGUUCAUGUCCUUGGAUGACGAAGACAGCUCAUGUAUGUCCCAUGUGUUAGAGAACCAACUAAAGGGUUUAUCUUCUGCUGCUGGGAAGACUGUCGAGAAGACUGCAAGCACCCGUCCUGCAUCCCGCUCGCGUGAAGUAAAAGAUACCGGCAAGCAAGCUGUCGAAGUUUCAGAUUCUGAUCAUGAGGAUAGUGAUGGUGGCGGUGAUGGUCACUCUGACGAAGAUCUAGAUUUUCACGUUCAUUACCAUGGUUCUUCAGGUGGGCCGAACGCCCAUGAGGCUUCAGGUAGUGGGGGUAGUGCUGGACCGAAUGCCCAUGAUGCUUCAGGUAGUGGCGCAGCGAAUGCAGAUGUGGGUGCAACCAUGUUUGCAACUGCCAAUGUGUCGGUAAGGUCAGCCGGAAUUGAUGCAACUGCUACUACAGGAACCGAUCAGCCUCUCGAGUCUCAGAUUAUGCUUAAUGCACGUUCCGGGAAUGUAUCUAGUGAUGGAUUGCAUAACCAGCCAGAUAUGACGGAUACUCAAAACGAGGCUGUUGUUGAUGCUUCUGUGAAGAGGUGCAGUUCUUCUCUCGUCCGUAACUUGGAAAAGCAAUAUUUCAGGUGUCGCAAGAAAUUACGCCUACCUUCUCCGCCCAUGGCCACUGGUACAACUGUUUCUAACCAGCCGUUGUUGGAUGAUACACAUCGUUCUAUCAAGGCAAUAGUCAUCAAUGAGCUUGGCAUUGUAGGCCCUGAUAAGGGCACUAACUCAGUAAUUGCCAAUCCCACGCGGAAGAAGCAACAUCCUCGCAAGUGUUCGAAUGCUCCAUCUAUUAGUGUUGCCGACCUUCAGCAAACGCGGUCUAGCAGUGUGGGUGUCACGUCUGAGGCGAUACCUAUUAAUCCUGCGCGUUCUUCGGCAGAUGUUGACUCGUUUGAAACGUCACGCAGCAAGAAAACCAAGAUUACUGUGAGGAAGGUUAAGAAGUCUUCUACACUUGCAGUUGCAACUAGGUCUUCUCCUCGUUUUGCUCCCAAGGACGCGAAAGAUGAUUUUGAAGACUUCCCCGUGGUCAGUUCUCCAAAGUUGUUGUGCAAGAUAAUGCCCCUGUGA
Molecule: ribosomal RNA, 1128 nt
Filed under: Triticum aestivum (bread wheat)
Lineage: Eukaryota; Viridiplantae; Streptophyta; Magnoliopsida; Poales; Poaceae
Description: partial small subunit ribosomal RNA
Source: RNAcentral